CCUACGGGUGGCAGCAGUGGGGGAUAUUGCACAAUGGGGGGAACCCUGAUGCAGCGACGCCGCGUGGGUGAAGGAGCGUUUCGGCGCGUAAAGCCCUAUCGGCAGGGAAGAAGCAAGACGGUACCUGACUAAGAAGCCCCGGCUAACUACGUGCCAGCAGCCGCGGUAAUACGUAGGGGGCGAGCGUUAUCCGGAUUCACUGGGUGUAAAGGGAGCGUAGACGGCCAUGCAAGCCAGGGGUGAAAGCCCGGGGCCCAACCCCGGGACUGCCCUUGGAACUGUGCGGCGAGAGUGCGGGAGGGGCAGGCGGAAUUCCUGGUGUAGCGGUGAAAUGCGUAGAUAUCAGGAGGAACACCGGCGGCGAAGGCGGCCUGCUGGACUGCGACUGACGUUGAGGCUCGAAAGCGUGGGGAGCGAACAGGAUUAGAUACCCUGGUAGUC
RNAcentral lists this ribosomal RNA (441 nucleotides) under uncultured bacterium. RNAcentral's name for it is "partial 16S ribosomal RNA". It matches the Rfam family "Bacterial small subunit ribosomal RNA", at positions 338 to 795 of the family's 1533-position model. The record is from RNAcentral.